This 341-nucleotide unclassified non-coding RNA is filed under the name soil metagenome. RNAcentral describes it as "partial contains 5.8S ribosomal RNA, internal transcribed spacer 2, and large subunit ribosomal RNA". The stretch from base 1 to 120 matches the Rfam family "5.8S ribosomal RNA", at positions 35 to 154 of the family's 154-position model. The record is from RNAcentral.
GAUGAAGAACGCAGCGAAAUGCGAUAAGUAGUGUGAAUUGCAGAAUUCAGUGAAUCAUCGAAUCUUUGAACGCACAUUGCGCCCUUUGGUAUUCCAAAGGGCAUGCCUGUUCGAGCGUCAUUUGUGCCCUCAAGCUUUGCUUGGUGUUGGGCGUCUUGUCUCUAGCUUUGCUGGAGACUCGCCUUAAAGUAAUUGGCAGCCGGCCUACUGGUUUCGGAGCGCAGCACAAGUCGCACUCUCUAUCAGCAAAGGUCUAGCAUCCAUUAAGCCUUUUUUUCAACUUUUGACCUCGGAUCAGGUAGGGAUACCCGCUGAACUUAAGCAUAUCAAUAAGCGGAGGA